Long non-coding RNA from Bubalus bubalis (water buffalo), 594 nucleotides. RefSeq lists it as uncharacterized. The record is from RefSeq and is a predicted model, not a curated record. NCBI's taxonomy places the organism in Eukaryota, Metazoa, Chordata, Mammalia, Artiodactyla, Bovidae. The transcript is spliced from 3 exons.
AGUGAAGUCACUUCCUGCUAAAGAUGCAAGGUAGUCUCUUCCUGUCGGGAUCUGUACUGAUGUCAAGUGGCAUGUGCAGGAGAAGUCCCCCGUCUGGCCUCUUGGCUCCAAAUUGGGUAAACUCAUAGACAACUUUGAAAGCCUUGCUCAAGUUUUCCCUCUGGGAUUCACCAAUGAUUCACCAUCUGAAUUAGAUCCCCCACCUCUGUGCUCCAGAGAACUUCAUGUGUGCUGCCAGAAGAAACAAUAAACUGUCUCUUUACAGUCCAUCAUGCUCCUGUGCUUUUGCAGGUAUGUGACUUAGAUUCUGACUAAUCAGACAGAUCUGCCUGAAAAUUGGAUUCAGAAGUGAGCAAAAUGAAGAGGAGCCUAAGUACAGUGGACCCGACAUCUGGCAAACACACGGUAGAAAGAGCCAGCUCUGCGAUGGUGAGAGUGCAGAGCAUCUGGUGUCCAGUCCUGAGAAUUCCCAGUGCCAAGGAGCAGUGGUGCCUCGCUAAAGCCUCCCCACAGCCCCAGGCUCUGCAUCCUGCAUGGGUACCUAAUAUCCUUUUAUAAAAUCCCUUUUCUGUUUAAGCCAGCCAGCAUGGAUUA